This 250-nucleotide ribosomal RNA is filed under the name uncultured bacterium. RNAcentral's name for it is "partial 16S ribosomal RNA". It matches the Rfam family "Bacterial small subunit ribosomal RNA", at positions 524 to 773 of the family's 1533-position model. The record is from RNAcentral.
UACGUAGGGCGCGAGCGUUAUCCGGAAUUAUUGGGCGUAAAGAGCUCGUAGGCGGUUUGUCGCGUCUGCCGUGAAAGUCCGGGGCUUAACUCCGGAUCUGCGGUGGGUACGGGCAGACUAGAGUGCAGUAGGGGAGACUGGAACUCCUGGUGUAGCGGUGAAAUGCGCAGAUAUCAGGAAGAACACCGAUGGCGAAGGCAGGUCUCUGGGCUGUAACUGACGCUGAGGAGCGAAAGCAUGGGGAGCGAAC